CCGGUUGAUCCUCACAGCAGUCAUAUGCUUGUCUCAAAGUUUAUGCCAUAAUGUGUAAGUAUGAAUUAAUUUAGACUAUGAAACUGCAAAUGGCUCAUUAAAUUAGUUAUAGUUUGUUUAAUAAUACCUGCUGCUCGGAUAAGCGUAGUAAUUCUAGAGUUAAUACAUGCAACAAACCACGACUUCCAGUAGGGAUGCAUUUAUUAGAUAAAGGGUGGGCUUUGCCCACGAACCGAUGAUUCAUGAUAACUUGAUAAAUCGCAUGGCGUUCGUGCCGAUGACGCAUUAAAAUUUAUGCCCUAUCAUCUUUUAAUGGUAGGAUAGGGGCCUACCAUGGUGGUGACGAGUGAUGAAGAAUAAAGAUUCAAUUCUAGAGGGGGAGCCUAAGAACGGUUACCAUAUUCAAGGAAAGCAGAAAGUGUGCAAAUUACCCAAUCUAGACACGGGGAGGUAGCGACAAUAAAUAACAAUACUAGGCCCUUCGGGUUAAGUAAUUGGAAUGAAUACAAUAUAGGAUCCAUUAUAGGUCAAGUCUGGUGCCAACAACCACGAUUAUUCCAACUCCAGUAGCAUUUAUUUUAGUUUCUGCAGUUAAAAGUUUGUAGUUAGACCUCGGGAUGAGUCCGCCGGUCUACCCUCAAGUGUGCACCAACAGCCUUGCCCCUUCUGCCGGCAAUGCGCUCCCGACUUAACUGAUCGGAUCGUGCAUCCAGCACUAUUACUUGAAGAAAUUAGAGUACUCAAAGCCAAGGAUUUAAGUGCCAUGGCACGGGGUCGUGCCGGAAACUUGCCGGCACGGUGCGUGCCGAGCCGUACCGAUGCGUACCAGUCAAAAAAUUUCUUGUGUGCCGACACAUAAUAGCAUGAAAUAUUUAUUUUCUUUAGCAACAAAAUAUUCUAACUAUUUAUUAUAUCUUUUUAUCAUAUCUUUUGAACUUUAUUGAGAAAAUUACUUACUAAUUUAAAGAAUAGAGGGUUUUGAGCUGUGCCAUCAGCACGGGGUCUAUAUUAUGCCGGUAUCUUAUUGGCACGGUACGGCACGGUGGAUACGAGUACGACCCUAAUUCUUUUGCUUUAUUAUUGCUUCGAAGAUGAUGUAUUCGAUCUAAAUCUGGCUAGAACAUAUCACAAGCGAAUCAAUAAUAGCUAGUAGUACAUAGACGUCUAAACCACCCACGCAAUCAAUUACAUAGAACUUGUUUUCAAAUUAAACAAAAAAGAAAAAAAUUUAUGGUUCCCAACAAGAUCUUAAUAAAUGCAAUUAGUUGCCUAAUUAAGUGAGAUAUCAACACAUAUGGUUAUAUAUUAUCUUGAGACAGUCAAUAUUGGGGGGGAGAGAGAGAGAGAGAUUUAUAUGAUAAGUAUAACUCAUCUUAUGCAAAUCUAAAUGGGAGUUGUUUUCAAUAAUGCAUAAAAAAGAAAAUGAUAGAAAUUUCAUGCCAUUUUUUAUGGUUCCCAACAAGAUCUUAAUAAAUGCAAUUAGUUGCCUAAUUAAGUGAGAAAUCAACACAUAUGGUUAUAAGAUUAUCUUAAGACAGUCAAUAUUAGGGGGCGAGAAAGAGAGAGAGAGCGCUUUAUAUGAAAAGUUAAAUUACAACAAAAGCGGUGUAUAGCGACACCUUUAAAUUUCGGUACAGGUAAAAAAAGUGCUGCUAGUUAAAUUACCGACACUUUUAAAAAGUAUUGCUAUAUGUCGAGUCGCUAGGUAUAUAGUGACAUUUAAAGAGUGUCGGUAUAAGCUAAAAGAGUGUUGCUAAUUUACCAACACUUAUUUAAGUAUUUAGCAACCGCCGGAACUCUACCUCGUUGACUGCAGUAACGGAGGAGGAGGAAAGGGAAGGGCUUUUCGUCUAGGAUUUAAGUGGAUUGAGUGAGAAAAGAAUGGGAGAUGGUAAUCGAUUUUUUUUUUUUCUUUUCUGUUUGUAAUUGGGCCGAAUGGGCUGGGUGGGAUGGGUUGAGUAGUACUACCUUUUAUUUUUGUUGGAUUGGGCUUUAUAUUUAGGCAUUAGAAGGUUUUUUUUUAAGUUUUGGUAUAAAUGGGACAUUUACAUAAAAAUGUCCCAAACAUGUGUCCCUAUAACCUAAUUUUGUUGUAGUGGCCUCACCUUAUGCAAUUCUAAAUGUGAGUUGCUUUCAAUAAUGCAUAAAAAAAUGAUAGAAAUUUCAUGCCAUUUUUUAGGUGUUCUUUUUUAUUCCUGAGUUUUUGCUCAAAGCAAGCCCACACUCUAUAUACAUUAGCAUAGAAUAACAUCAUAAGAUUCUAGUCCUAUUGUGUUGGCCUUCGGGAUGGGAAUAAUGAUUUACAGGGAGAAUCGGGGGCAUUUGUAUUUUAUAGUCAUAGGUGAAGUAUUUGGAUUUAUGAAAGACGAACCGAUGCGAAAAGCAUCUGCCAAGAAUAUUUUUCUUUAAUCGAGAAUGAAAGUUGAGGGCUCGAAGACAAGCAAAUACCGUCCUAGUCUCAACCAAAAACGAUGCCCAAUUGCUGCUUUUAGGACUCUGCCUCCUUAUGAAAAAUUAAAUUCUUUGGAUUCCC
RNAcentral lists this non-coding RNA (2533 nucleotides) under Ananas comosus (pineapple). RNAcentral's name for it is "Eukaryotic small subunit ribosomal RNA". The stretch from base 1 to 882 matches the Rfam family "Eukaryotic small subunit ribosomal RNA", at positions 4 to 1116 of the family's 1831-position model. Lineage: Eukaryota; Viridiplantae; Streptophyta; Magnoliopsida; Poales; Bromeliaceae. The record is from Rfam by way of RNAcentral.